ACAACUUUCAGCGAUGGAUGUCUCGGCUCGAACACCGAUGAAGGGCGCAGCGAAGUGUGAUAAGCAUUGUGAAUUGCAGAAUUCCGUGAAUCAAUGGAGACCUGAACGCACACUGCGCUUUCGGGAUACCCCUGAAAGCAUGCCUGCUUCAGUGUCUAUG
This 160-nucleotide ribosomal RNA is filed under the name Zooxanthella nutricula. Its description in RNAcentral is "Brandtodinium nutricula 5.8S ribosomal RNA". It matches the Rfam family "5.8S ribosomal RNA". From Rfam's summary of the family: 5.8S ribosomal RNA (5.8S rRNA) is a component of the large subunit of the eukaryotic ribosome. It is transcribed by RNA polymerase I as part of the 45S precursor that also contains 18S and 28S rRNA. Lineage: Eukaryota; Dinophyceae; Peridiniales. The record is from RNAcentral.